CAAGUCGCACGAGAAUCCGCCUUCGGGCGGGAGGACAGUGGCGAACGGGUGAGUAACACGUGAGCAUCUGCCUCCGGGUCGGGGACAGCCCGCGGAAACGCGGAUUAAUACCCGACGGUCCCUUCGGGGCAAAGAGGAAUCGCCCGGAGAUGAGCUCGCGGCCCAUCAGCUUGUUGGCGGGGUAACGGCCCACCAAGGCGACGACGGGUAGGUGGUCUGAGAGGAUGGUCACCCACACUGGGACUGAGACACUGCCCAGACUCCUACGGGAGGCUGCAGUCGAGAAUCAUCCGCAAUGGGCGAAAGCCUGACGGUGCAAUGCCGCGUGGGGGAUGAAGGCCUUCGGGUCGUAAACCCCUGUCAGAAGGGACGAAGCAAGUGACGGUACCUUCAGAGGAAGCCACGGCUAACUACGUGCCAGCAGCCGCGGUAACACGUAGGUGGCGAGCGUUAUUCGGAUUUACUGGGCGUAAAGGGUCCGCAGGGGGUUUGCCAAGUCCGGUGUGAAAGUCCAGGGCCCAACCCUGGAACUGCGCCGGAUACUGGUGAACUGGAGUGCGCGAAGGGCAGGCGGAAUUCCUGGUGUAGCGGUGGAAUGCGUGGAUAUCAGGAAGAACACCGACGGCGAAAGCAGCCUGCUGGCGCGCCACUGACCCUCAUGGACGAA
Molecule: ribosomal RNA, 667 nt
Filed under: uncultured organism
Description: bacterial SSU rRNA
Rfam family: Bacterial small subunit ribosomal RNA
Source: RNAcentral